AGAGCUCUCUCUCAAAAUCCCUAAGCUCCGAAAGAAAAAUAGUGCGAAAUCAUGUUUUACUUCUAUAAUUCUAUCUGUCAAAAUCCCCAAGCUCUGAAAGGAAAACAGAUCGAAAUCGCGUUUAACUUCUACAAUUCGAUCCUUUACAAUACCUAGAAACAUUAAUUCUGUCCUCCACACAAGCAAUCUCUUCACCGAUUUUAGGUAAUAUUGGAGAGGGUAGAGCAUUUUGCUCAGUCAGUUUCUGUAUACGAAGAUCAAAUAUUUCAAAAAAGAGCUCGUAUUCAGCAGUGAUUUUAUUAUGAGUAGGCGACUCAUAAGCACCUACAAUGACUGGUAUUCCAAAUUCCGAACUCAACCUGCUGCAGUCAGCAUUUUGGAUAUUUUUGUUGAAUAUGGGAAUGAGGGAAGCAUUGUACUGCUCCAAGCCUGCUUAGAUCAAGUGAAAUUUCAGAGCGAAGACUUUCAGUCAAAGCCAGAUCUUCUAUCAGCUAUCUUUAGAUACUUUUUGGGUAGACCAAAUUUCGCCACAGUUUUCUGUGAAGCACUAAAGUGAUGAGUGAAGGAUUUCUAGAAGGUCACUCCAAGCAAUUGCAUUUGUCUACACCCGAGAAAAUUGCUU
Magnolia sinica is the source of this 622-nucleotide long non-coding RNA. RefSeq lists it as uncharacterized. Lineage: Eukaryota; Viridiplantae; Streptophyta; Magnoliopsida; Magnoliales; Magnoliaceae. The record is from RefSeq and is a predicted model, not a curated record. The transcript has 4 exons.